AUGACUAUCUGUCAGAGUGUGAGUCCCCUUCUGACACGUCAACACCAGAGAGACAUGGCUUACUUGCAGGGCUAGGCGCAAGGAGUUUGCUGACAAGGCUUUUAACAAAAUAAUAACUAAUCAGACAUGUCCGUAUUUCAUGUAGCCAUUCUUGUAAGCAGAUCUCAGUGCAAAAAUGUUUAUGCAGAAGAUCAGAUUACAGGAUCAGCAAGAAGCCAGCUGGUCAAGGCCAUGCAACUCUUGGUGCAAGGUGAAUACAGAGGAAGCGGCAUUCUGUGCCUCAGAGAGGUUGGACUCAUUUAUACAGCCAUAACUCUGCAAUUUCUGCAACUCUUUCUCUGUGCAUCUUUUGUAUGAUACAGUCCCAACAUUGCCAAAAUUCUGUUUUCCCAAACCAUGCUAAUGAUGGCUUGGGUUUGCUGCCUCUCCUUCAGUAUGUCCCCAAGCUCCUACUGGUGUCACUGAAGCAAUUUGUGUACAAGAACAAAUGCCGACAAAUUGAUCACAGCACCCAGAAUCUGGUUCUUAUCCGUGAGUGUAGCAUGGAUUUUGGAGCACACUACAUGUUUUUAGGAUGAAGGACGAUCAGUACAUGGAAAGUGAAGAGUGUGCUGCAGCCACCCAGCACAGCAGAGGGCUGGCCUCACUGAGUAAGAUCUCAGGUUUCUAAAUGGCUUCUUCUACAAUAUCCCUGUGUUUAUCAUUCUCAGACAAGCUGGGAUUCACAUGAUGUUGACAACCAUAAUAUAUUCUCUGUAAAUUGCAAUUGGAUCUUUGAAUCUCCAGACAGUUGAGAAACUAGUUUCUCUCACCUGUUUAAUUAACCAUGUCAUGUUUUCCAAAGAGAAUUAAUUGUCUCAUUGAAGCAGUAAGGAGACUGAAAGGUUCAAAAGAAAAAUAAAUAUGAGUGUGUAGCAGAGUAAACAUUUAUCCAAUAAACAUUUUCACAGCUGAGUUUCAAA
Phasianus colchicus (ring-necked pheasant) is the source of this 962-nucleotide long non-coding RNA. RefSeq lists it as uncharacterized. The record is from RefSeq and is a predicted model, not a curated record. NCBI's taxonomy places the organism in Eukaryota, Metazoa, Chordata, Aves, Galliformes, Phasianidae.